UCAAAAAUAUUUCUUCUUGCCACUUCGCCGACCGUUUUCUUUCUAGACCACGAUCACCAAUGAUCAACAAUCUAAAAAUAACUACCCAAUUCUGUUACUUAUAUUUGUACGAGGCUUUUCUUUAUAAUUGCAUCUUGAUACAAUAACACAUCUUCUCUAUUUCUCUAAUCCUCAAACCUGAUUUUGCAAUGCAAGACUUCUUCCCUGAGAGACAUUGUCAUUCACUUAUUCAUCAUAUUUUUAUUUGUGUUUGCUUAAUAUUUUUGGAUCUCACUCUGUUCUCUACUUCUAUCAUCGCUUUGAUUUAUCAAACCUCACUCACUCACGUGUAUGAUUUUCUUCAAAAACUCAAGCUUAUUAAUAUGCAGAAACACAAGGUUAUCUUCUUUUUCAAAACGAAGAUGUGAGAAAACGAAGAUGUUUCAAAAGAUGUAAAGAGAUCAAGAGAAUCUAACACUACCCAAAAAGACUAUCAACAAAAUUGAAGUUACAGGUGGACCCAUUAUCUUUUCCUGAAAAGAAAAAGACAGGUCAGAGUCAGACUUUUGUCCUUUUACGAGAGCACCUCGGUACGUUCCAGAACCCUCUCCCGUCUCCUCCUCCAUCAUCUAACUUUAUUUAAUACACAAAUUACCAAACUAUUUUAUUAACCCAAAUUAUUGUUCAAUAUUCACCUAAUCACCAUCAUAAAUAAAAUAACACAGAAUGGCACUAGAGACUAGAUGACAAGAAAACAAAAAUUAGAAGAGAUACUGUCCAAAAGAACCUAAAAUGUUUUUGACAAAAACACAUAUAAAAAAGAAAAUGAUUAAAAAAGUUUCAUAAUUUACUUUUUCUGAAAAAGAUAUUCAAUGUUUUAAUUUUUUCUUGAUUUUUUGGUUGAUUGUAAUUCAAAAAUUCUUUUAAAAUUAUUAUUCUAAAUCUAAAAUUUUAAAUCAUAUUUCCCCUCUGAAAACUAAUAUCUAAAAUCUAAACUUGAAAUUAAAAUAAAAAAACUUGAAAUUAAAAUUAGUUAACUUUAAAAACUAUUAAAAUUCCUUUACUUUUUAAAAAUUUCUAUUUGGAUCAUUUUGAUCCUUUUAAACUAUUUUUAUGAUAAAUUUUGUUUUCGGCAAUGUCACAAACACAUGAACGCAAGAAAUAAAUAGAGUAAUUCUUGGGUUCACUCCCUAGGGUGAACCUCUAGGUUCACCCACCAAUAAUAGUUCACCAUUUUAUAUUUAAUGUUUUUUAGAAAAGGAAAUAAAAUAUUGUCAAGUUAUAUUACGUUUUUUAAAAAAUUAAAAAAUAAAAGCUCAAGAAUUAAAAUAAAAAUAAUAGUAGUUGAAAAAAAUUAUUUUUUAAAAAAGCUUUUUAUACCAUCAGCAAAAUGCUAAACCCUAAACCCUAAAUCCUAAACCCUAAACCAUUGGGUAAACCCUAAACCCUUGGACAAAUUCUAAAUUCUUGAAUUUUUUAAAGUAAUUUUAGUACCGUCAGCAAAACACUAAACCCUAAACCCUAAAUACUAUACCCUAAACCCAUGGAUAAAUCUUAAACCCUU
This is a long non-coding RNA of Raphanus sativus (radish), 1543 nucleotides long. RefSeq lists it as uncharacterized. NCBI's taxonomy places the organism in Eukaryota, Viridiplantae, Streptophyta, Magnoliopsida, Brassicales, Brassicaceae. The record is from RefSeq and is a predicted model, not a curated record. The transcript has 3 exons.